UACGUAGGUGGCAAGCGUUGUCCGGAAUUAUUGGGCGUAAAGCGCGCGCAGGCGGUCCUUUAAGUCUGAUGUGAAAGCCCACGGCUCAACCGUGGAGGGUCAUUGGAAACUGGGGGACUUGAGUGCAGAAGAGGAAAGCGGAAUUCCACGUGUAGCGGUGAAAUGCGUAGAUAUCUGGAGGAACACCGGUGGCGAAGGCGGCAUCCUGGACCGGCAUUGACGCUGAGGCGCGAAAGCCAGGGGAGCAAACGGG
RNAcentral lists this ribosomal RNA (253 nucleotides) under uncultured bacterium. RNAcentral's name for it is "partial 16S ribosomal RNA". It matches the Rfam family "Bacterial small subunit ribosomal RNA", at positions 524 to 776 of the family's 1533-position model. The record is from RNAcentral.